This is a small nucleolar RNA of Hucho hucho (huchen), 223 nucleotides long. Its record names the gene SNORA73. It matches the Rfam family "Small nucleolar RNA SNORA73 family". From Rfam's summary of the family: U17 (SNORA73A and SNORA73B) also known as E1 belongs to the H/ACA class of small nucleolar RNAs (snoRNAs). Vertebrate U17 is intron-encoded and ranges in length from 200-230 nucleotides, longer than most snoRNAs. It is one of the most abundant snoRNAs in human cells and is essential for the cleavage of pre-rRNA within the 5' external transcribed spacer (ETS). The record is from Ensembl. NCBI's taxonomy places the organism in Eukaryota, Metazoa, Chordata, Actinopteri, Salmoniformes, Salmonidae.
UCAGUGUGGACAGCCGGUGAGGUUGCUCUUGCAUGGCUUUGUCCAAGUGGCUUAUGGGAGCAUAGCACUGUACAGUGCCAUGAUGUACAGUCCCGUUCCACAACAUUGUACAGCAAGCCUGUUCCCAGCCUUUGGGCUGAUAGGGACGGCGUCCUGCAUAUUCCUACGUCUUCCCAGAGCCUCUGGGCCAUGACUGGGGAGGCAAACCAUGUAGUGCACAAGU